UCCUCAUUAGCAUAGUGGUUAGUGUCCCCACCUGUCACAUGGGAGACCUGGGUUUGAUUCCCUAAUAGGGAG
This 72-nucleotide transfer RNA is filed under the name Poecilia formosa (Amazon molly). It matches the Rfam family "tRNA". Rfam says of the family: Transfer RNA (tRNA) molecules are approximately 80 nucleotides in length. Their secondary structure includes four short double-helical elements and three loops (D, anti-codon, and T loops). Further hydrogen bonds mediate the characteristic L-shaped molecular structure. tRNAs have two regions of fundamental functional importance: the anti-codon, which is responsible for specific mRNA codon recognition, and the 3' end, to which the tRNAs corresponding amino acid is attached (by aminoacyl-tRNA synthetases). tRNAs cope with the degeneracy of the genetic code in two manners: having more than one tRNA (with a specific anti-codon) for a particular amino acid; and 'wobble' base-pairing, i.e. permitting non-standard base-pairing at the 3rd anti-codon position. The record is from Rfam by way of RNAcentral. Lineage: Eukaryota; Metazoa; Chordata; Actinopteri; Cyprinodontiformes; Poeciliidae.